RNAcentral lists this ribosomal RNA (253 nucleotides) under uncultured bacterium. RNAcentral describes it as "partial 16S ribosomal RNA". It matches the Rfam family "Bacterial small subunit ribosomal RNA", at positions 524 to 776 of the family's 1533-position model. The record is from RNAcentral.
GACGUAGGGUGCAAGCGUUGUCCGGAAUUAUUGGGCGUAAAGAGCGUGUAGGCGGCCCGAUUAGUCCGCUGUGAAAGUCCAGGGCUCAACCCUGAAAUGCCGGUGGAUACUGUCGGGCUAGAGUCCGGAAGGGGCGAGUGGAAUUCCUGGUGUAGCGGUGAAAUGCGCAGAUAUCAGGAGGAACACCAAUGGCGAAGGCAGCUCGCUGGGACGUGACUGACGCUGAGACGCGAAAGCGUGGGGAGCAAACAGG